CAGUUCGGAUCGGAGCCUGCAACCCGACUCCGUGAAGCUGGAUUCGCUAGUAAUCGCGCAUCAGCCAUGGCGCGGUGAAUACGUUCCCGGGCCUUGUACACACCGCCCGUCAAGCCAUGGAAGCCGGGGGGCGCUUGAAGUGCGUUGCCGCAAGGCGCGCCCUAGGGCGAAACCGGUGACUGGGGCUAAGUCGUAACAAGGUACC
Molecule: ribosomal RNA, 205 nt
Filed under: uncultured bacterium
Lineage: Bacteria
Description: partial 16S ribosomal RNA
Rfam family: Bacterial small subunit ribosomal RNA
Source: RNAcentral